Molecule: RNA transcript, 1849 nt
Organism: Brachypodium distachyon (stiff brome)
Lineage: Eukaryota; Viridiplantae; Streptophyta; Magnoliopsida; Poales; Poaceae
Gene name: CRS2-associated factor 2, mitochondrial
Exons: 6
Source: RefSeq, a predicted model, not a curated record
UAGCCCAUUCGCCUCGUCAAGCCCAGCCGAACCCAACCACUCCAUCUUCCUCCCCUCGCACCCAUCCCCCACCAUGCUUCUUCGCCGCAAGCUUCUCCCAUGGCCGCGCCCCAGACGCCCACAGGCCCAAGCUCUGUCCCGCCGCCUCUUGCGCGCCUCCUACCUCUCCGACCCCGACGACGACGACCCGCCGUUCACGCGAAUCCCAGACCACACGCCUCAAGCGCCGCCGCCGCCGAAGCCCAAAGCCCGGGCUGCCAAGAUCAUCCCCGACGAGCCGGCGCACUCCGACCUGCCCUUCGACUUCCGGUACUCCUACUCGGAGACUGACCCGGCCUGGAGGCCCAUCGGGUUCCGCGAGCCCACCCGGUUCUCGCCCUUCGGCCCCGGCCGCCUUGACAGGCCCUGGGACGGCGCCGCCGCCGCCGCCGCGCGCGUCUACGGGGAUAGCGAGGGCGGAGAUGGAGGUGGGACUAGCAGGGAGGAUUUGCUUGGGGAGGCGCUGUCGGAGGCGGAGGUGUCGGAGCUCGUGGAGAGGUACCGGCACAGUGACUGCUCCCGGCAGAUCAAUUUGGGGAAAGGAGGUGUAACUCAUAAUAUGCUUGAUGACAUCCACAACCACUGGAAACGUGCAGAAGCUGUUAGGAUCAAGUGUCUUGGAGUGGCAACUCUCGACAUGGACAAUAUAUGCUUCCAUCUUGAGGAUAAAACAGGUGGGAAAAUCAUACACCGUAGCAUAAAUAUCCUUAUCUUAUAUCGUGGUCGGAAUUAUGAUCCAAAACAACGUCCUGUCAUACCACUGAUGUUAUGGAAGCCAUUGGCUCCUAUUUAUCCUAAGCUCGUCCAAAGUGUUGCUGAAGGGAUGACUUUUGAGGAAACUAAAGAAUUGAGAAACAGAGGAUUAAAUUCACCUCCUCUUAUGAAAUUAACUAGGAAUGGUGUCUAUGUUAAUGUCGUUGACAGAGUGAGAGAGGCCUUUCAGACUGUCGAAGUGGUGAGACUAGAUUGUACUCAUGUUGGUACCAGUGAUUGCAAGAAAAUUGGUGUGAAGCUAAGGGAUUUGGUUCCAUGUGUUCCCAUAUUAUUUAAAGAUGAACAAAUUAUUCUCUGGAGAGGGAAGGUGGAUCAGGAGGAGUCUGUUUCAUCUGAGUGCAGUUCUCAACCACAGUAAUGCAAGUGCCUUUAGUCCAGAGAAGCUGCUAAUAGAAGCAGGCCUGCUGCUUGGAUGCCUUCCACCAUUUCCACGAGCACCGAAGAAUAUUUACCACCUACCAUCCGAUUAUGGAAAUGCUCAAGGAGUCACGGUCUGCAGCAAUUGAUCUAAUUGGUCAUAUAUUUCUUCCUGCUGUUUCAAGUAGUUUGCCGAAAGAGUAUGUGGAUUGGGCGACAGGAAAGUGAUGUUUUUUGUAGGUGAAGAACCAUGCAAUUCAGAGAUAUGCAGCAGCAUCUCCUUUGCUUGGAAUUGGAAGCGACUGCUGGUACAGUCAGCAGUUCUUCCAGCCUAUGGAGUCAUCGUCAGAUGCUCUCUGCGGUUGCAAUGAACCUUCCGUGGCGAAAACCCAGUCAAGUUGUGCGUCAAGAUGAUCAACUUGCCAAGAAAGAAGCCCCACGCAUCCACAUGGCCAAUGAACAAUUCAAGGAGGGCUAACAUGAAGCAAAAGGGCCCAAACGUGAAGCAAAAAGAAGUCAAGUGCGAGUGUGUGAUAAGAGAAAAGUACGAGAACCCUCCGAUAAUUUUCAGAACUUACCAUUUUGCCCUUCCACUCCUCGUGAUCUCAAGGACAUCCAUAGUUUUUUUUGCCACAAACCCGGCUAUAAAAGCGUAGAACUCACCCUAUCUUCACUUGAA